This 427-nucleotide ribosomal RNA is filed under the name uncultured bacterium. RNAcentral describes it as "partial 16S ribosomal RNA". It matches the Rfam family "Bacterial small subunit ribosomal RNA", at positions 355 to 774 of the family's 1533-position model. The record is from RNAcentral.
UGGGGAAUAUUGCACAAUGGGCGCAAGCCUGAUGCAGCCAUGCCGCGUGUGUGAAGAAGGCCUUCGGGUUGUAAAGCACUUUCAGCGAGGAGGAAGGGUAGUGUGUUAAUAGCACAUUGCAUUGACGUUACUCGCAGAAGAAGCACCGGCUAACUCCGUGCCGGCAGCCGCGGUAUUACGGAGGGUGCAAGCGUUAAUCGGAAUUACUGGGCGUAAAGCGCACGCAGGCGGUUUGUUAAGUCAGAUGUGAAAUCCCCGCGCUUAACGUGGGAACUGCAUUUGAAACUGGCAAGCUAGAGUCUUGUAGAGGGGGGUAGAAUUCCAGGUGUAGCGGUGAAAUGCGUAGAGAUCUGGAGGAAUACCGGUGGCGAAGGCGGCCCCCUGGACAAAGACUGACGCUCAGGUGCGAAAGCGUGGGGAGCAAACA